UGCGUAGGCGGUUUGGUAAGUCUUGUGUGAAAUCUAUGGGCUCAACUCAUAGUCUGCACGAGAAACUGCCGGGCUUGAGUAUGGGAGAGGUGAGUGGAAUUCCUGGUGUAGCGGUGAAAUGCGUAGAUAUCAGGAGGAACACCUGUGGCGAAAGCGGCUCACUGGACCAUAACUGACGCUGAUGCACGAAAGCUAGGGGAGCAAACAGGAUUAGAUACCCUGGUAGUCCUAGCCCUAAACGAUGACUGCUUGGUGUGACGGGUACCCAAUCCCGCCGUGCCGUAGCUAACGCGUUAAGCAGUCCGCCUGGGGAGUACGGUCGCAAGGCUGAA
This 332-nucleotide ribosomal RNA is filed under the name uncultured bacterium. RNAcentral's name for it is "bacterial SSU rRNA". It matches the Rfam family "Bacterial small subunit ribosomal RNA", at positions 568 to 898 of the family's 1533-position model. The record is from RNAcentral.